RNAcentral lists this ribosomal RNA (376 nucleotides) under uncultured organism. Its description in RNAcentral is "partial 16S ribosomal RNA". It matches the Rfam family "Bacterial small subunit ribosomal RNA", at positions 527 to 897 of the family's 1533-position model. The record is from RNAcentral.
GUAGGGUGCAAGCGUUAAUCGGAAUUACUGGGGCGUAAAGCGUGCGCAGGCGGUUGUGCAAGACAGAUGUGAAAUCCCCCGGGGCUCAACCUGGGGAAUUGCAUUUGUGACUGCACGGCUAGAGUGUGUCAGAGGGGGGUAGAAUUCCACGUGUAGCAGUGAAAUGCGUAGAGAUGUGGAGGAAUACCGAUGGCGAAGGCAGCCCCCCUGGGAUAACACUGACGCUCAUGCACGAAAGCGUGGGGAGCAAACAGGAUUAGAUACCCUGGUAGUCCACGCCCUAAACGAUGUCAACUAGUUGUCGGGUCUUAAUUGACUUGGUAACGCAGCUAACGCGUGAAGUUGACCGCCUGGGGAGUACGGUCGCAAAGAUUAA